RNAcentral lists this small RNA (78 nucleotides) under Flavobacterium sp. 81. Its description in RNAcentral is "Flavo-1 RNA". It matches the Rfam family "Flavo-1 RNA". Lineage: Bacteria; Pseudomonadati; Bacteroidota; Flavobacteriia; Flavobacteriales; Flavobacteriaceae. RNAcentral also lists the same sequence under 1 other name. The record is from RNAcentral.
GUUUAGCCCCGAUAGAAGUGGAAAUCCUUUUGUGCCGAGGUUCGGCACAAAAGAUUGCAAUGGAUAGCGGGACUUCAG